This 512-nucleotide ribosomal RNA is filed under the name uncultured bacterium. RNAcentral's name for it is "bacterial SSU rRNA". It matches the Rfam family "Bacterial small subunit ribosomal RNA", at positions 19 to 518 of the family's 1533-position model. The record is from RNAcentral.
CUGGCUCAGGAUGAACGCUAGCUACAGGCUUAACACAUGCAAGUCGAGGGGCAGCAUGAUCGAAGCUGCUUGAUGAUGGCGACCGGCGCACGGGUGAGUAACGCGUAUCCAACCUUCCCUAUAGUAGAGGAUAGCCCGGCGAAAGUCGGAUUAAUACUCUAUGUUUUCCAAUGCAGACAUCUAAGUUGGAACAAAGGUCCACCGCUAUAGGAUGGGGAUGCGUCUGAUUAGGUAGUCGGCGGGGUAACGGCCCACCGAGCCAACGAUCAGUAGGGGUUCUGAGAGGAAGGUCCCCCACAUUGGAACUGAGACACGGUCCAAACUCCUACGGGAGGCAGCAGUGAGGAAUAUUGGUCAAUGGGCGAGAGCCUGAACCAGACCCAAGUAGCGUGCAGGAUGACCGGCCCUAUGGGUUGUAAACUGUCUUUUAGUACGGGGAUAAAGUGAGGGACGUGUCCCUUUUUGUAGGUACCGUAUGAAUAAGGACCGGCUAAUUCCGUGCCAGCCGCCGC